UAGACAAAGCUGUUUAAAGUUCUUAAUAUC
Molecule: non-coding RNA, 30 nt
Filed under: Mus musculus (house mouse)
Lineage: Eukaryota; Metazoa; Chordata; Mammalia; Rodentia; Muridae
Source: RNAcentral